UACAGAGGUCUCAAGCGUUGUUCGGAUUCAUUGGGCGUAAAGGGCGCGUAGGCGGCCUUCUAAGUCGAACGUGAAAUCCCCGGGCUCAACCCGGGAACUGCGUCCGAGACUGGAAGGCUCGAAUCCGGGAGAGGGAUGUGGAAUUCCAGGUGUAGCGGUGAAACGCGUAGAUAUCUGGAGGAACAUCGGUGGCGAAGGCGGCAUCCUGGACCGGUAUUGACGCUGAGGCGCGAAAGCCAGGGGAGCAAACGGG
Molecule: ribosomal RNA, 253 nt
Filed under: uncultured bacterium
Lineage: Bacteria
Description: partial 16S ribosomal RNA
Rfam family: Bacterial small subunit ribosomal RNA
Source: RNAcentral